GCAUCGGUGGUGCAGUGGUGGAGCACUCGUCCCCGCGUAGGAUGAAACACGGGUUCAAUUCCUGAGACCGUGUUUUUGCU
This is a non-coding RNA of Parelaphostrongylus tenuis, 80 nucleotides long. NCBI's taxonomy places the organism in Eukaryota, Metazoa, Nematoda, Chromadorea, Rhabditida, Metastrongylidae. The record is from the annotation of a GenBank genome assembly.